AAUGUCCCGUAUUUGCUCCUCAUUUGUCCCGUUUUUACCUGGUUAGCUAAUGGUCAGCAUAUAUUUAACCAGUAGGUUUUAUUACAAAUACUUUUCGGCAGUAAGCAUGCCUGCAGCUAGAGUUCUGGCUAUUCUUGAGGCCAACUCUUCCCCUGUAUUGAACUGCAAAUGAAUCAAUAGUUUAUGAAUACUUUCUGCCACCCUUAGUUAUAAAAUAAAGUUUGGCUUAGUUGGUAAGUAUCCUCCGAUUUCCCGUAUCAUUAGAGUUCAAAUCUCAAUUUAAAAAAGUGACAAAAAAGUUCAUCAUGAACAUAAACAAAUUGACAAGGUGCGUGUAGAACCCCACAGAUGUUUUGGUUCACGAUCAUUUUUUUUUUUUGCAAGUCGAUAAAGUAGGAGAUUUUGGUCUCGAAAUUUUGAUAAAAAUCUGUAUCAACAUUUCACGAUGCUACUUAAUGAGCGUUAAAUUUCUUUAUGAAUCGAUGACGAUCGCUAUCGAUUUGUUAUAUGAGCGUCUUUAAAGCUCGACAUAAAGAAAUGUGAAGAAAAUUGAAGAAAUGGUUGACCGGGUCGUUCAAAUCUACUCAAAAGAGGGUAAUUUUGACUCACUUUUGAAGUUUCAAGUUAGCUGUCAAAAGUGAGUAACUUUAUUUUAUCAAAGUGAGUAACUUUUUACUCAAUCAUGAAAGAAAUCGACCUUACUCAUUUUUGAGUAAACACAAACAUAUUUUGACUCACUUUGUAAACGUCAAAGACUUGUGAAAAUUUCGCGCGCUCGAAUUGACAUCCUCAGUUGUGGUGAAAUUACUUCCGUCGACGUGAUGUCGGACUGUUUUCGAAAACAGUAGAGAUAAAAGCCUAGCCGGCAGAGCAAUGACGCUUCGGAAGUUCAACCGGCGAACACCAGAUAAGUGCUGCGAAGUCAAUAAUCCUGAUAUCAAGUGAAUCGCUUCACUUGACCUCGUGGUCCGAGUGAAAAUGGCCAAGUCCUGGUUUUGAACCGAACAAUCGAACAACCACAAGAAAAAAUAAUAAACAUCUAACCGGGAAGGCUACUGGCUCGGUCAAACUACAUCCUCCAUGACUUUCAUCAAUCCCCCAGAGAUUUACAACAUCCGGGGAUCCAUUCCAGAGCAGCGAAUAUGUACACAAAUAUCACAAUAUUUUUACUUGUUAUCAUGUAUUAUCCAUAUAGUUAUGUAUGAUAUAAUGAAUAAAUGUUAUUCUCUUUGUAUA
Long non-coding RNA from Aedes aegypti (yellow fever mosquito), 1236 nucleotides. RefSeq lists it as uncharacterized. The record is from RefSeq and is a predicted model, not a curated record. The transcript is spliced from 2 exons. Lineage: Eukaryota; Metazoa; Arthropoda; Insecta; Diptera; Culicidae.